GCCUGGUUGGCUCAGCUGGUUAAGCAUCCGACUUUGGCUCAGGUUAUGGUCUCACAGCUCGUGGGUUUGAACCCCACGUCAGGCU
RNAcentral lists this transfer RNA (85 nucleotides) under Felis catus (domestic cat). It matches the Rfam family "tRNA". Rfam says of the family: Transfer RNA (tRNA) molecules are approximately 80 nucleotides in length. Their secondary structure includes four short double-helical elements and three loops (D, anti-codon, and T loops). Further hydrogen bonds mediate the characteristic L-shaped molecular structure. tRNAs have two regions of fundamental functional importance: the anti-codon, which is responsible for specific mRNA codon recognition, and the 3' end, to which the tRNAs corresponding amino acid is attached (by aminoacyl-tRNA synthetases). tRNAs cope with the degeneracy of the genetic code in two manners: having more than one tRNA (with a specific anti-codon) for a particular amino acid; and 'wobble' base-pairing, i.e. permitting non-standard base-pairing at the 3rd anti-codon position. The record is from Rfam by way of RNAcentral. Lineage: Eukaryota; Metazoa; Chordata; Mammalia; Carnivora; Felidae.